Molecule: unclassified non-coding RNA, 1183 nt
Filed under: Hevea brasiliensis (rubber tree)
Lineage: Eukaryota; Viridiplantae; Streptophyta; Magnoliopsida; Malpighiales; Euphorbiaceae
Source: RNAcentral
UUGUUUAUCUCUGCUUGUUAUGAUGAUUCUACUUCCAGCACCAAACCAAGUAUGCUUUCCAGCUAAAGCUUCUACUUGUUCAAAUGUGUCUACGUCAUCAAGAACAAUAAGAGCCCUUACAUGGCGAAGCUGCUUCCUCACAAAAGAUGGUCUCGAGUUUGACGUGCUCAUGCUUGUAUUUCCUUCAUUCAAUACAUUAACAAGAAUUUCAUCUCGUAAUUUUGUUAAACCAUGUUUUGUUGAUUCUUCUCUAACAUUUUCAACAAAGCAACAUCCUUCAAAAUGACAAUAGCUUUUGUCAAAUAUAAGUCUAGCAAUAGUUGUCUUUCCGAUACCACCCAUUCCCCAUAGGCCGACAAUUCUAAUGUCUGGUGUCCCAAUUUGCAAUAAUGAUUCCACAUUUUCAAUUUGUGAUUGUAUUCCAACCAGGUCCUCUACAUAAUCUAAGCAUGGAUGUCCCAAUUUUUUCAAAAUAUCCUUUACAAUUUCUUCAACGAGUAUGGACUCUGGCCCAGUGUUUUUUGAAUCCCAUCCACAUAAAUAGGCAGCUUCAUUCAAAGAGGUCCUCCACUCUUGGAUCUUGUUCUUAUCCACCUUCACAUCUUCUUCAUAUUUUUUAAAAGCUUCUCCAAAACUUCUGGUUUGAUGUUUUACGUCAGCUGGAUCAACUUUGUAGAAAAUAGGCAAAACCUUUUGCUUGCCUUGUUUCUUGCGUUUCAUACAUUCUACCAGCUCAUUUAAGCACCAUCGCGAAUCUGCAUACUUUUCAGAGAAUAUGAUCACAGAGAUGCUUGAUCCCCUAAUUGCUUCAACAAGUGAUUGCUCAAGCUCUUCUCCUCUAUCGAUUCUAUAGUCUAUGAAAGUCCGAAUUCCUCGACGAACCAAAGCUGUGUGGAGAUGGCUGGUGAAGUUGUCACGGGUGUCUCCUCUGAAACUUAGGAAUACGUCAUAUUUUACUAAAUCGAGUGAAGAAGAAGAAGAAGAAGCCAUAGUGAUGCUUCACAAAACAACCAAGAAAGGAUGCAUUUUAUAAUUAGUAAAGUAAACUGAUAAUAUGGGAAAGCUUCCCUGCAUUCUCCUUUGGCAGACAAAAUACCAAAAAGUCAGGGCAACAAGAAUUGAGGUCUUCUCUCUCUAGCGAUAGAGAGAGAAUUUUUCUCUAAAAGUUUCUGGCUGAUUUGAG